AAAUUUACAGAUUAAGAUACAUCCAAUUCAAGUUGGUCUUUGAAACUGAAGCAACAGACUUUACGAGGACUGGGGGACAGAAGUGUGCAGUUUUUCCCCGAUGGACCACUCGCUCUCUGGUUUUGCCUGCUGUCACCAGCCCCUCUUCCAACCACCUCCUUCCCCGACGGCACUGUAACCGUGCUUUUCCUGAACCCGGUGGUCAAGGCGCCCACCUUCUCCAUGGCUCUCCCACCUCCUUCCAACAGCCUUGGGGGACAAGUGGAACCACGUCCAGCUGAGCAAACGAAUUCACCGACAAGUGGUACCAGAGCCUCCACAUGCUGCCUUUUGCUUCCAAAUCCCACCAGGUUUCUGAUCUACAAGUCAGUUUCCUACCAGAGUCGAGGGCAUGUGCACAGCCCCAUGAUCACCUUCAGUCAAAGGGAGGCCCAGGGACAGCAGCUUCUGACGGGAAAGUCUUUCCUGCCCCCACGCCUUCCCAAAUCUUCCCUGAGGGGCCUCCAGCCACAUUCCUGUCCAGCCCAGGAGAACAGCUGGAGGCCCUGGGGCUGGAUGGACCACACAGGCCUCCAGGGCACAAUUCUUUUUUUUUUUUUUUUUUUUUGUCUUUUUGCCAUUUCUUGGGCCGCUCCCGCGGCAUAUGGAGAUUCCCAGGCUAGGGGUCUAAUCGGAGCUGUAGCCACCGCCUACGCCUGAGCCACAGCAACUCAGGAUCUGAGCCGCGUCUGCGACCUACACCACAGCUCCCGGUAACGCCGGAUCCUUAACCCACUGAGCAAGGCCAGGGAUCAAACCCACAACCUCAUGGUUCCUAGUCGGAUUCGUUAACCACUGUGCCACGACGGGAACUCCAGGGCACAAUUCUAACAGAAGCUUCAGGAAGAGCCCGCAGCCUCACUCCCUGGACCAGCUUGUGAGGAACCUGGAAGAGUUCCUCGGGGUUCCCGGCCCACACCCAGGAGGGGCCCCCAGUUGUCUGCCCGGCAGCCCACACUGGCCUCCAUCGCCAGUGCAGGCAGCAAAAACUGAGGCUGGGAGGGCGGGACGCGUGCCUGGAAACUGACGUAGCAUUGCAGGGAGGACAGCCAGCCAGGAUGAGGCCAGGUCCCCAUCUGGAAACAAGCCAGACACUGCAGUGGCCCCUGGGAUGGUGCAGACCCCACUGUGCUCGACACGACACAGCAGAAGCGUGGGGGCCACAGAUGCCCCAGGAAGCCUCAGCUGUCGGACUCUGCCAGGCCCACCCCACUGGACACACGCCUGGGCCUACCUGUCUCCGCCGCGUCCUCCAUGAAGUAGCUGCACCGAUUGCCGUCUGUCUGCAGCUCGUCACUGCCCGAAGUGUGCACAGGCAGCUCGUGGCCCAGCACCUCCAGCUCCUUGUGGAAACUGGCAUGGGGGCAGCUUUGGAGGAAGCCAAACACCAGUAGGUUUGUGAUGCGCUCGUCCUGGAGGCUGGAACCGUUGCUGACCUGAGGAAAAAGGGCCUGUAAGAACCUGGGCCCAGGCAGCCGGGCAGGAUAGCCGCCUGGCCCAGGGGCCCGAACACCCUCUCAGUGGGCAGAGGCUGGGUCUGCAGGGCCUGCUUUAGGCGAGGCCACCAUAGAUGCCAGAGAGAAAGCUCUGGUCCUAGGGAAGCCUCUCACCUGCCGUUUGCCUUCAUCCUGACCUCUGGCCGGGCGCUUCCCCUGGCAGAAGCUGCCAUCCUUGCUCCCAUGCACUUUUGACAGGUCCCACAUACCUUUUACCAACCUGAGCCUCCUUCACCAGCGCUGAGCCCUUCCUCUUCCCUAAUCUCCCUGUGGGCACAGGAAGGUAUUGUGCAGACAGCAGAUUUUUAACACGUAUAGGGCAGUAGUGUCCACAGACAACACCUGCUCUGGGCAGGCCCAGCUGGCCUCAGGUGGGCAAGCCCCUCAACCCAGAGAAUAGCUCCUGCCUCCUGAGCGGCAUUGUGGGGGCUGCAUGUGGCAGCCCAUGUGCACUGAGACACCCCAAGACCCAGGACAGGAGGGGGCCAUCCUGGAGGCCAGGGUGCGAGGUCUGCCAGCUCAGCACAUGCAGUACCCACCCUGGCUGGAAGGAAGCAAACAAGGCACAGGUACCUUCAGUUCUGUCUUCCUAGUCCUUAACAUUUUUCACCAGAAAACUUUUAGAGGACCAUUUUUAGAGGACAAAUUGUCUUAAUUAAAAUGUAUAAAACAAGGUGCUUAUGUAUUGCUAUUGGCCUUUACUUCUCCAGAAUUACUAUUUAAAAAGAGGGGAAUGUAUGCAAAAGCUCAAUUGCAUUAAAUCUUUACAGUGAGGCCAGGUGGCAGGGGCAGCUUAAAAACUGUAGAACUGGAGUUCCCACUGUGGUGCAGUGGGGUAAGACUCCAACUGCAGCAGCUCGGGUCACUACAGAGGCACAGGUUGGAUCCCCAGCCUGGUGCAGUAGGUUGAAGGAUCCAGCAGUGCCUAUGCUGCAGCUGCAGCUUGGAUUCAAUCCCUGACCUGGGAACUUCCAUAUAGCGUGGGCACAAGCAAAAAAUUUAUGUAAAGAGAAAGGAUCAAGACUUUGGCAGUUGUGGAGUUCCUGUCAUGGCUCAGCAGAAAUGAAUCUGGCUAGCAUCCAUGAGGAUGCAGGUUGAUUCCUGGCCUUGCUCAGUGAGUUAAGGAUCCUGCGUUGCUAUGAGCUAUGCUGUAGUCACAGAUGCAGCUCAGAUCUGAUGUUGCUGUGGCUGUGGGGUAGGCCGGGGGCUACAGCUGAUUCAACUCCUAGUCUGAGAACUUCCACAUGCCAUGGAUGCGGCCCUCAAAAGACAAAAAAAAAAAAAAAAAAGCCUUAGGCAAUCUUUCUGGACAUAUUACAGAGCUGAUCUAUAGGAGGGAAAAUAACUUGCGCUAUAAAUCAGUCCCAGUGCAGAGAAAACAGUGGAAAGCUUUGUGAUAAGAAUCUUAGUGCUCAAAGCCUGUGAAAUUAGUGCCAAGCAACAGUAAUAAACCCAAACCUGAGACAUUAUGCUCAGUGAAAUAUGCCAGACAUAAGAGGACACACACUACACAAGCCCUAGCACCUGUGUGGUCCCUGAAGUGUCGAAUUCCCAGAGAAAGAAAGUGGAGUGAUGGGGCCAGGGGUACAGUGCUGAAUGCCACUAAGCUGAACACUUAAAACAGGCUAAAACAGUAAAUGUCGUGCCAAUGUAUAUUUUUACUAAUUUUUAAAAACUGGAAAAAAAUUUCAAAGUCAGAAAAAUUGAUAGCAGGAUGACAAUUCUGUUGCAGGGAGGGGAAGAGGAAAUAGAUGUCUCACCAGCAACUACAACUAUGGACACUCCUGUCUCGGGUUUCUCAGCUUGAAGGAAAAGAAAGGAAAAGAGAAGCCCUGGGAGCAAUCCUGUCCUCCUUCCUCACUGACAAGUCAUCAGGAAACAGGACCAGGGAAGGCAGCAGGGGUCCUGCCAGGAGGGCACAGGGCAGGGGCACCAAAUGGCAUUUCAGCCCUGAGGACUGGCCUGUUCCCACUAGGGCAGCUCCUGAAAUCUCUUCUGUUCAAGACCGGAUGUUUCGCUAGAGCUCAUGACAUCUGAGACCCUUGGCCACCAGGGUCCCCACCUCCUGAGAAGGACGCUGGUAAAGUCCAGACUGAGGCCCUUGCAGGUACGGGGCUGCUUGCUGCUCAGGACUCACAGAGCAGGCACCAAGCUUAGGAAAGUCUCCUGGCCUAUCCAGGGGGUGGCCAGGUAUAGGUGCAGGAGGAGGUGGGGAGAUGCCACAAGCUUGUCAUCGUCAUCCCCCGCUAUGGAUGUGAGGCUCCUUCUGCAAGGCCUCAGCCACCCGUGUCCCCAAAGCCUUCUUCCAGGACAACCGCACCAUCUGACCUUAGAAUCCAUGGCCCACACGCUCCGGCUCACAGGGGUCCAAGUCAGCAGCCUGGAAGAGAACACACAGGAUGGUGCUGGCCCUGCAGGGACAGCCCCAGGAUCCCCCAGGAAACAGGGAGCCAUCUGGGCCCGGGCUCUGCUGCUCAUCCCAAUAGCAUGCACUCCUCUUUACUGAGACGGAGACUCCCCAGCCUCAGGGGCCAAGGCUCCCACCUCGAGCUCACUCUUCAGGCCCAGGGGGGCAGUUGGGCUUAUGGGCUCUUUCUCCAUAAGUACUUAACAGCACUGGGUUUCCCCCGUGGUUAACGCCUAGACACUGUCAGGGAUCUGCUGUUCUUACCAUGGCCCCAUACCACCCUCCCCUCGACAAGUACACUGUCCCUUCAGCUACAGCCCCAGAGCAGGGACCUGUGACUCAGCCUCACAGCUACUGAGGGCCAGGCAGUGUCCGUGGACGGGACUAGACGCAGCCAGGCAGGCCAGCUCCCAGGCCAUGGGCUUCAAGGGUAGAGAAGAUCAGUCUUCUCAUAGAGCUCUAGUCAGAUGUGUAUAAAGAAAAAGAAUGUGUAUUUGAUAGCUACACAACGAUUACAGCUCCCAUGUGGCACAUAAUUCCACAUUAAAUAACCCAAACAACUGAGCAGACCCAGUGGAAUCUAAGUUUAAAAAGGAACAGAGAAGAAAGAAACGAAUCUGACUGGUAUCCAUGAGGAUGCGGGUAUGAUCCCUGGUCUCGCUCAGGUUAAGGAUCCAGUGUUGACGCAAGCGGUGUAGGUCACAGACACAGCUCGGAUCCCACGUUGUUGUAGCUGUGGUAUAGGACGGCAGCUGCAGUUCUGAUUUGACCCCUAGCUUGGAACUUCCAUAAGCUGUGGGUGCAGCCCUUAAAAAAAAAAAAAAAAAAAAAAAACAGAGAAAAGAAUGAGAGCUCUGUUUGCAUUAGGAGAGAUGUCCAGACAGACUAGACAAGUUUCUGCAGAGCAGUCUCACCAGAAUAAUCAUACACCUGCAUCCGUGUGUUCCCACAGUAUUAGGCUAAGGCAAGUGAAUCAGUCACUUUGUAGGGCAAAAACAGCCAAACACGGCAAUUCCAUAUGGUUCCUAAACACACAAGAGGUAAAAACAACCAGCUCAUCUCCGUGGAAAGGGUAAGGUUCCCACUGAGGGCAGGCGGCAAGGCCAGGGUGGUGCCAAGGGUGGGUGGGGGGUGCUCACCCAGCUUCAGUGGCCCUGUACCCCAAGCCGCCCCUGGGAGGUUAGUCCUCGUAGUUUUGUCGUACCUGCAUUCUCAGACUCAACCAACCACAGGCCGUGGGGUAGUUACUAAUGAGAAACAUGUGCAGAAGUGGAUCCGUGCCGCCCAAACCAUGUUGUGCCUUCACGUGUUCACAGCUCUCUCCAUAAAAAUGCGGAGUCAGAGGAGAGCACGUGCUAACCCAGACCAGGACCCAGAGGAACGGAGCAGGGGAGCUCACUGCUGGGCCAUGGUUUGGAGAAGGUGAAUUUCCUCUUACUCCUUCUGAAAUGAACACUUAUUAAGGAUUUUCUAUGUAACUCCUUAUUUAACAGGGAAACAAUAAGAUGAUAAAAAUACUCAAAGGAACCCAAGAUCCACAUUCACAGGCAGGGCACAUGCAUUUCUACUGACAAAUCAUUUCCUUCAGCAUCAGUUUUUUGCAACUUACAAAGGCAUAAAAUAGCUCAAAGACAAGAUAUCCAGAAAGGGAGAGCUGGCCAAAAUAUCCUGGGUUUUGAGCCAUUUCAAGAUCUUUCAUGGUUCCCCCAUUGGUCUCCAGCCUAUGACAUGAUCUCAAAGACUAACACAAAACGGCGGGAGGGUCUCAUUAGAGAGGCCUGUCACAUUUGUGCAGCAAGAAUGCUCAUUAACCAGCCAGGCCACCUAGGGUUUCUCUUGCAAGUUUAGAUCCCUGCUUUUUUUUUCUUUUCAGGGCCGCACCUAUGGAAUAUAGAAGUUCCCAGGCAUGGGGCUGAAUCAGAACUGCAGCUGCCAGCCUACGCCACAGCCACAGCAAUUCCAGAGCCAAGCCUUGCGACCUACACCACAGCUCAUGGCAACGCUGGAUCCUUAACUCACUGAGGGAGGCCAGGGAUCAAACCCACCUCCUCAUGGAUACUAGUCAGGUUCAUUACCACUGAGCCACAAUGGGAACUCCCUAGAUCCCUGCUAUUAAACAACUACUGAGGUCACAAAACCACCUUCCAUCUGGAAAUUUCCAUAUCUCAGAUUGGACUCUGCUAUCCUGAGGGUGGAAGUCAGGCCUAAGCAAUUCCACAGGCUUCACCCGCAGCUCCCUUCAAUGUGUGCAAAUUCCUCUAGGGUUGGGGGGGAGCCCAGGCACUGGGAACAAGGGCGACUAACUCAGAUAUGGCACAUGGCGGAGGGUAGGGACACUCCUGUGGGGGCUGCCCCCUGGCAACAGCUCCCGUGGGACGGCCUUCACCCUAUGGCCCCAAGUUGGAGGCAGGGACAGAAAUUAGGAAAACUCUUGGUUAUUGAUCCAGUCCUGAAGUUAUUUUCAGCUUGCUGGGCUGGUUGCUAGGGGUGACGGCUAGCAGGUCACUGUUUUACAGUCCGGCCACUGGCCACCUGAAUAUUCAGUUCCUGCCUCAGGUCCCCAGAUCACAGGAAGUAACCUCCUACCAGAAAGGGCAGGUCCUCAGGGCCAGAACGGUUUUCAGUGGUGGUGGUGGGGGGGGUCCUCGAGCCUUUGCUCCCUACAAGGUAAAUUAGUUCUGUGACAAGUGGCUUGUCAUGGCUGAUCACAAGAGCAUCAUUCAGAAAUAUGACUUUCUCAAGAAGGCUCUCAAUUUGUCCAAUUUAUUAUAUCCCGGUAAAAAGAACAAAGGACAGUACGGCAGUUUCUCAAAAAAAAGAAAAUGACACAAUUACCAUAUGCACUAUAACUACUACUUCUGGGCAUGUGCACAAAAGAAGUGACAGCAGGGACUUCCUGGCCACAUCACUCACCACAGCUACAAGGUGGAAACAAACAUGUCCAUCCACACAAUGAGUGUCAUUCAGCCUCAAAAAGAUGGGUAUCCUGGCACCUGUGGCAACAUGGAGGCACCCCAGGCCAAGACACCAAACCAACAAGGCAGCUGCCACAGUAAAUACUGUGUCAGUCCACACACAUGAAAAAUCAUGCCUGCUUUUUGGAGAAUCAAGUCCUUGUUAAUGCCACAGAGCUGUACACUUAAAAUGAUUAAAAUACCACAAUACGAUUACCAAGGACAUUUUUCACAGAACUUGAACAAAAUAUUUUAAAGUUGUUUGGAAGCACAAAAGACCCAGAGUAGCCAAAGACAUCCUGAAAAAGAAAAAUGGAGCUAGAGGAAUCAGGCUCCCUGACUUCAGACUAUACUACAAAGCAACAGUCAUCAAAACCACAUGGUACUGACACAAAGACAGAAAUGUAGGUCAGUGGAACAGGAUAGAAAGCCCAGAAUUAAACCCACACACCUACAGUCAACUAAUCUAUGACCAAGGAGGCAAGAAUAUACAAUGGAGAAAAGACGGCCCUUUUAAUAAGUGGUGCUGGGAAAACUGGACAGCCACAUGUGAAAGAAUGAAAUUACAACACUCCCUGACACCAUACACAAAAAUAAACUCAAAAUGGAUUAAAGACCUAGAUAGAACACCAGACACUAUCAAACUCCUAGAGGAAAACACAGGCCAAACACUCUCUGACAUAAACGACAGCAACAUCUUCUCAGAUCCACCUCUUGGAGUAAUGACGGUAAAAACAAAAAUAAACAAAUGGGACGACUUAAUUAAACUUAAAAGUUUCUGCACAGCAAAGGAAACCCUAAACAAAACGAAAAGACAACCCACAGAAUGGGAGAACAUCUUUGCACAUGAAUCGACUGACAAGGGAUUCAUCUCCAAAAUUUAUAAACAUCUACCAAUCAAUUCCAAAAAAAAUAAACCACCCCAUCGAAAAAUGGGCAGAAGAUCUAAACAGACGAUUCUCCAAAGAAGACAAACGGAUAGCCAAAAAAACACAUGAAAAGAGGUUCAACAUGACUCAUUAUUAGAAAAAUGCAAAUCAAAACCACUAUGAGGUACCAUCUUACACUGGCCAGAAUGGCCAUCAUCCAAAAGUCUACAAACAAUAAGUGCUGGAGAAGGUGUGAAGAAAAAGGAAUCCUGUUACACUGUUGGUGGGAUUGUAAAUUGGUGCAACCACUGUGGAAAACUGUAUGGAGAUUCCUCAGAAAACUAAAAGUAGAAUUACCAUUUGAUCCAGCAAUCCCAGUCUUGGGCAUCUAUCCAGAGAAAACCAUGACUUGCAAAGACACACGUACUCCAAUAUUCAAUGCAGCACUAUUUGCAAUAGCCAAGACAUGGAAACCGCCUAAAUGCCCAGUGACAGAGGAGAAGAUCAAGAAGAUGUGGUACAUGUACACAAUGGAAUACUACCCAGCCAUUAAAAGGAACGAAAUAACAGUAUUUUUAUUUUUUUUUAAUUUUUUUAUUUUUUAAAGUCCCUUGACUCUCUUGCUGAGGUGGUUUUAUUUUAUUUUAUUUAUUUAUUUAUUUGGUCUUUCUGUCUUUUCUAGGGCUGCACCCUCAGCAUAUGGAGGCUCCCAGG
Sus scrofa (pig) is the source of this 8479-nucleotide non-coding RNA. The record is from RefSeq and is a predicted model, not a curated record. Lineage: Eukaryota; Metazoa; Chordata; Mammalia; Artiodactyla; Suidae.